CCUACGGGGGGCAGCAGUGGGGAAUAUUGCACAAUGGGGGAAACCCUGAUGCAGCGACGCCGCGUGAGUGAAGAAGUAAUUCGUUACGUAAAGCUCUAUCAGCAGGGAAGAAAUACUGACCUUACGGUCAGCAGACGGUACCUGAGUAAGAAGCCCCGGCUAACUACGUGCCAGCAGCCGCGGUAAUACGUAGGGGGCAAGCGUUAUCCGGAUUUACUGGGUGUAAAGGGAGCGUAGACGGCAUUGCAAGUCUGAUGUGAAAGAUUGGGGCUCAACCCCAGGCCUGCAUUGGAAACUGUAAAGCU
This 305-nucleotide ribosomal RNA is filed under the name uncultured bacterium. Its description in RNAcentral is "bacterial SSU rRNA". It matches the Rfam family "Bacterial small subunit ribosomal RNA", at positions 338 to 642 of the family's 1533-position model. The record is from RNAcentral.